AGGCAGCAGUGGGGGAAUAUUGCACAAUGGGCGCAAGCCUGAUGCAGCCAUGCCGCGUGUAUGAAGAAGGCCUUCGGGUUGUAAAGUACUUUCAGCAGUGAGGAAGGCGGGUACGUUAAUAGCGUGCUCGUUUGACGUUAGCUGCAGAAGAAGCACCGGCUAACUCCGUGCCAGCAGCCGCGGUAAUACGGAGGGUGCGAGCGUUAAUCGGAAUUACUGGGCGUAAAGCGCAUGCAGGUGGUUUGUUAAGUCAGAUGUGAAAGCCCGGGGCUCAACCUCGGAAUUGCAUUUGAAACUGGCAGACUAGAGUACUGUAGAGGGGGGUAGGAAUUUCAGGUGUAGCGGUGAAAUGCGUAGAGAUCUGAAGGAAUACCGGUGGCGAAGGCGGCCCCCUGGACAGAUACUGACACUCAGAUGCGAAAGCGUGGGGAGCAAACAGGAUUAGAUACCCUGGUAG
RNAcentral lists this ribosomal RNA (457 nucleotides) under uncultured bacterium. Its description in RNAcentral is "bacterial SSU rRNA". It matches the Rfam family "Bacterial small subunit ribosomal RNA", at positions 346 to 793 of the family's 1533-position model. The record is from RNAcentral.